This is a long non-coding RNA of Peromyscus maniculatus bairdii (prairie deer mouse), 706 nucleotides long. RefSeq lists it as uncharacterized. Lineage: Eukaryota; Metazoa; Chordata; Mammalia; Rodentia; Cricetidae. The record is from RefSeq and is a predicted model, not a curated record.
GAGCAAGAGAGAACAGAGACGAAGGCCAGCCGCCCAGCCGCCCAGCCACCCAUGGAGUAAGAUACAGAAGUAAGAAAAGGAAAAAGCCCAGAGUAAAAGCUCAGGCCGUAACCCUGCCUUCUAGAUGAAAAUGUCCACACCAGUUGGGAACUCAGAGUCUUCAGGGAAUGGCAGCAGCUUGAUUACGGGAUUGCUGUUCUUGACCCCCUUUCUGAUACGUCAUAGGAUUUGUCAAUAAUAGAGGACAAGGAAGUAGAUGGAGGUUAUUAUGCUAUGCCAUUGCCAGGUAUUAUCAGUCACAAGGAAUUCUCCAGGCAGAAGUUCACACUCCAUGAUGUCAGUCGAGGAGAGGAAAUCCUCACCAGGUGCUUCCUGUGGAACAUCACAUUUACCCAGAGAUGUGCUAGCAUGGGCAAGCGCUUUCUCAGCUUGGAGGGCUCAUCUCUCAGGGGCCAGUUAGCUGAGAAGCUUGUGUGAAGCCUGCACUGUUUCAGAUUCUGUUAAACUGAGUUUAAACUAAGCUUUAAACCUCUUCGGACAAGUUUGAACCAAUAUGUUAACACUUUAGGGAAGGUUAGAUCACCCAGUCUUAAUUUUUUUAUUUCUACAGUGUGAGAAUUCAUUAAUAACAAAAUCAUAAGCUCUAUCAGCCUGACCAGUCCUUGGAUUGAUAUUUUACAAAUUAAAGCAAAUGACCUACCAUCCA